RNAcentral lists this ribosomal RNA (253 nucleotides) under uncultured bacterium. RNAcentral's name for it is "partial 16S ribosomal RNA". It matches the Rfam family "Bacterial small subunit ribosomal RNA", at positions 524 to 776 of the family's 1533-position model. The record is from RNAcentral.
GACGGAGGGUGCGAGCGUUGUUCGGAUUGACUGGGCGUAAAGGGCGUGUAGGCGGUCGGCCAAGUCUGGUGUGAAAGCCCGGGGCUUAGCUCCGGAAGUGCGCCGGAAACUAGCUGGCUGGAGCGCGGUAGAGGAGUGUGGAAUUCCUGGUGUAGCGGUGAAAUGCGUAGAUAUCGGGAGGAACACCAAUGGCGAAGGCAGCUUGCUGGGCCACUCCUGACACUGAGGUACGAAAGCGUGGGGAGCGAACAGG